RNA transcript from Elaeis guineensis (African oil palm), 3523 nucleotides. RefSeq lists it as uncharacterized. Lineage: Eukaryota; Viridiplantae; Streptophyta; Magnoliopsida; Arecales; Arecaceae. The record is from RefSeq and is a predicted model, not a curated record.
UCCUAUAAUACUUAUCGCGAAGUCCCUUCCGGCCUGCCUGCGAGGCGUCCUCUCGAGCGGCUCGGGUUUUCCGUUCUCGCAGACAUCUCUCAGUUCCUUGGUGAGAUUACGUGACAGAAAGAGGAGAAAGUAAGUGGCGGGGGAAACGGCUUGAAGUGAGAAACGGUUUGUUUGCUUUGGGUUGUAGGCUCGUAGCCCAUCUAUAUUAGCCGCCGCACUCUUGCGUUCUCGCCGCUCGAAGGGUUCAAUACAAACCCUCUACCUUGCUAGCCGUGGUGACAGAUGAUGGUCCUCUUCUUCGAUCUCAGCAUCUCCUAUCUCGAGAGGGAGGACGCCGCCGCACCGGAGAACAAGGCCCGACGGGACGCGCGGCUGAAGGCGGUGGUGAAGGCCAUGGAGCUCGGCUACACCGCCGUCGCCUACGACCGCCCCUUCCGCGGUGUCAUGUCCGACGCUGACCGUUGUAAGAUCCCCCCCUUUCCCCUCUCCUCUCUCCUCGGCGCCGCCCCCGCCCUUGCCUCCACCGUCGCCUUCCACCGCGACAUCCUCGGCGUCGCCCUCUCCGCCCCCUUCCGUCAGUACUCCCGCCUCACCGUCUCCAUUAGCGCCAAGUCCGCCGCCGCGGCCCUCCACCCCGGGAACCCUGUUCUUAGGACCUACGACAUCGCCGCCGUCCGGCCUUUCAACCAGGUGGCCUUCGACGAGGCCUGCAAGUUCUCUGAGGUUGAUAUAAUUUCGAUAGACUUCUCUCAGAGACUUCCUUUCCGUUUAAAGCUUCCAAUGGUAGAAGUUGCAAUUAAGCGUGGGUUAUAUUUUGAGAUAACCUACUCUCACCUUAUUGCUGAUGUUCAUGUCAGGAGACAAAUGCUAUCAGAUGCCAAGCUACUAGUGGAUUGGACACGAGGGAAGAAUCUCAUCAUCUCAAGUGCUGCUUCCACUGCAAAUGAAAUUAGAGGACCAUGUGAUGUUGCAAAUUUAUCUGCAUUUUUGCUUGGCCUCUCCAUUGAGAGAGCAAAAGCAAAUAUUUCCGAGAACUGCAGAUCACUGGUAGCUAAUGCCUUAAAAAAGAAGCAUUGCUAUAAGGAAGCUAUCAGAAUUGAAAGAAUUUUGCCUGAGGAACAAUUGGAUUCUGAAAGGGUUUGGUUUGGUGACUGUAACAAUUGGGAUCCUAUCUCUAGUGGCCAAGGUGAUUUGCCAUCAUUGGAUGAUAUGACAAAGUUUUUCUCUUGUGCCAGCAAACAGUCUAAAAGUUCAAAUGCAAUUGAUUUCACAUCAAUAGCUGAUGGAAUGCCAUUCUCAUUCAGUCAGCAUCAAACACAGGUCUCCUCUCCUAAGAUAGUGGGGUCAUCUGCUGCUGUAGAUGGCACCCCUCUUGCUGCAACCAGUGAUGUCACCCAGCAAGAGGUGUCUAAUGAGCUUCUAGUUGAGAAUCGGAUGCUGAUGGAUACAACACCAUCAGAACAGCAAAAGACUGUCAUGUCAUUCUCAUUUGGUCAACAUCAAACACAUAUCUCCUCUCCUAAGAAACUAGGGUCAUCUGCUGCUGCAGAAGGCACCCCUCUUGCUGCAACUGGUGAUGUCACACAGCAAGAGAUGUCUAAUGAGCUUCCGGUUGAGAAUAGAACACCAAUGGAUACAACACCAUUAGAAUGGCAAGAGUCUGUCACAAGUGUUUUGGCUUCGUCAUUUGACAUGGAAACAUCAUUUGCUAAUGCUGAAGAACCUGACCCAGAUGUUGUGGUGGAUAACGACCUCAAAAGUUCCAAUAGACAUACUAUGAUUUCUGAUGCAGCUGAUGUGCCUAUAUGUAGUGCAGUGUUGGAGGAUUGUAAGUUCACAGGUGAGGAAAAUCUUUUGCCAUCUAAUGCUAAUCCAGUUUGUUCGACUCUUUUUGAGGUCUGUGGGCCAUCCGAUAGAUGUUUGGAGGAUCAUACAAGUCCAGACCAGUCUGAUAAUGUUCCAGUUGCAAUUCAGACUCCUACUGAUGUCUCGGAAGAUAUGUACUCCAUCAAUGUUGCAAGCAGUCAGAUCUCAUCAAGGGAUAAUGAGUCAUUUUUCACCAUUUCCAUUGAGAAAGAUAUGCCAAAAGAGAAAGAAACAGAGAAAAAUGUUGAGGAAGGGCUGAAGGAUGAAAAUAUUAAUGCCUGUGGCUUAUAUUUGCAAAGCGAUAUUGAUAAGCCUUCAGAAAGUGAUGAAAGAGAGGAUCUGAGCUCAUUGGCAGAUGACAUACCUUUAGAGGACACUCUCAUGGACAGAAAAGAACAAGGGCUAGGAGAAAUUGUUUUGACUGAAAGUGAUGAAGUAUUGAAGGAGUUUACAUCUGGCAAAAAUGAACAAAUAGAAAAUAGUUCAGCAGCUGCUAACAGGGGCACAUCCUGCAAGAUUAAGUCAGUGAAACGAGGAAGCAGGCAAAGGCCGGUCUAUCCAGCUUUCCCAUUGCCUUUCAAGGGUUUGUUUAAGCCAAUGCUUUUCAAGAAGAAAAUAUGUCAGUUCCAAAGACCAAGAAAACAUUUGUAAGAUGUAUAUUUGAGAAAGGGGAAAACCAUGCUUCUUGGGAUGCACAGGGCGGUAGUGAAUACUAUUCUUCUUCUUAUGCGUCCUUUAACAAUAGCCUUCAUAGUCAUAUGCGUUCAAUCCCUUGUGUAAACAUUGCAAUGCCAAGAAGCAGCAUGAGAUUUUCAUGAAAGGUACUUAAGCUAAUCUGUUCUAAAUCUAACUAGCUAGCUACCAUGUGGGGCUUAGGUAAUGUCCCUUGGAGUCCAAGAUUCGGCCAGUCUUCAUGAACUCUGCAGCACUCACGCUCCAAGUGGGAUCUCUAGUUUGUUGCAUGUAAAGAGUCAACAUCUCUCUGCAGGCGAUGAUAUCGGUGGGUGCUCGUGGACUUUAUCAUGUCGGUUUGGCCAUGCCACCAAGUUGGUGAUCUUACACUGUCAUGUUAUGUCAAUGGGAUAUGAAACCCUGGAGGUGGAGCUGCAGGUGGGGUUCAUGGAGUAUGUGGAGGAAUAGGAGAUGAUUGGUCUACCAUUGGCUUGGAUCACUUUCUGUUUGCUUACCAACCAAUCGGCGACCGAAACAGCAUUGCUUGCCAAUUAAUCAGCGACUGAAGCAACACACUUGCCAGCCAAUAGAUGCCUGAAACAACAUCAGUGUCCUGAUGGCUUUAUCUAGUACCUUUGCAGGCAGACAUCUUUCAAAGCAGAAAUCAUUCCCCCACCCAGGCCUCUUGUAGGAUGUUCUUUCGGAGCUUGAUCAGAGUCUGGUGGACCAAAGACAGAGCAAUUUCUAAUCGUUGUAGCUAACUCCAGAAAUUCUCUCCUUUUUGUCAACAUAUUAUUUUGAAGUCUCAUUUCAUUGAAGGGAAUAGGACAUCAUAAAGUUUGCUGGUUUUUUCAAGUAUCAAAUCGAGGACAUGUGUCGGCUGUCGAUAGAUGGUGGUUGUUGUUCAUAUUUUUCUCGAGCACUUGAAAAAGAUGUUUUCAGCUACUAAUCUUUGAGUUACGGAUAUGAUUGCACAUUUAUGCCU